Molecule: non-coding RNA, 48 nt
Organism: Schistosoma haematobium
Lineage: Eukaryota; Metazoa; Platyhelminthes; Trematoda; Strigeidida; Schistosomatidae
Source: Rfam
AUCCGGUUGACGAGUCCCAAAUAGGACGAAACGCGCGUCACAUUGGAU